GGCCUCUUGGUCUAGUGGUAUGAUUCUCGCUUUGGGUCUGUCCUCAUCUCAGCAUGCGAGAGGCCCCGGGUUCGAAUCCCGGAGAGGCCC
Molecule: transfer RNA, 90 nt
Filed under: Xylaria cubensis
Lineage: Eukaryota; Fungi; Ascomycota; Sordariomycetes; Xylariales; Xylariaceae
Description: tRNA-Pro
Rfam family: tRNA
About the family: Transfer RNA (tRNA) molecules are approximately 80 nucleotides in length. Their secondary structure includes four short double-helical elements and three loops (D, anti-codon, and T loops).
Source: RNAcentral